RNAcentral lists this ribosomal RNA (440 nucleotides) under uncultured bacterium. RNAcentral describes it as "partial 16S ribosomal RNA". It matches the Rfam family "Bacterial small subunit ribosomal RNA", at positions 338 to 795 of the family's 1533-position model. The record is from RNAcentral.
CCUACGGGAGGCAGCAGUGGGGAAUAUUGGACAAUGGGGGAAACCCUGAUCCAGCGACGCCGCGUGAGUGAAGAAGUAUUUCGGUACGUAAAGCUCUAUCAGCAGGAAAGAAAAUGACGGUACCUGACUAAGAAGCCCCGGCUAACUACGUGCCAGCAGCCGCGGUAAUACGUAGGGGGCAAGCGUUAUCCGGAUUUACUGGGUGUAAAGGGAGCGUAGACGGCAGCGCAAGUCUGGAGUGAAAAGCCGGGGCCCAACCCCGGAACUGCUCUGGAAACUGUGAAGCUGGAGUGCAGGAGAGGUAAGCGGAAUUCCUGGUGUAGCGGUGAAAUCCGUAGAUAUUAGAAGGAACACCAAUAGCGUAGGCAGGUUACUGGGACGGUUCUGACACUAAGGCACGAAAGCGUAGGGAGCAAACGGGAUUAGAUACCCUUGUAGUC